GCCGGGCACGGUGGCAUGUGCCUGUAGUCCCAGCUACUCAAGAGGCUGAGGUGGGAGGAUCACUUGAGCCCAGGAGUUCUGGGCUGUAGUGCGCUAUGCCAAUCGGGUGUCUGCACUAAGUUCAGCAUCAAUAUGGUGACCCGGGAGCGGCGGACCACCAGGUUGUCUAAUGAGGGGUGAACCAGCCCAGGUUGGAAACGGAGCAGGUCAAAACUCCCGUGCUUAUCAGUAGUGGGAUCACAUCUGUGAAUAGCCACUGCACUCCAGCCUGGGCAACAUAGUGAGACCCUAUCUUU
RNAcentral lists this signal recognition particle RNA (296 nucleotides) under Saimiri boliviensis boliviensis (Bolivian squirrel monkey). Its description in RNAcentral is "Metazoan signal recognition particle RNA (ENSSBOG00000004754.1)". It matches the Rfam family "Metazoan signal recognition particle RNA". Rfam says of the family: The signal recognition particle (SRP) is a universally conserved ribonucleoprotein. It is involved in the co-translational targeting of proteins to membranes. The record is from RNAcentral. Lineage: Eukaryota; Metazoa; Chordata; Mammalia; Primates; Cebidae.